This 207-nucleotide ribosomal RNA is filed under the name uncultured delta proteobacterium. RNAcentral's name for it is "partial 16S ribosomal RNA". It matches the Rfam family "Bacterial small subunit ribosomal RNA", at positions 568 to 774 of the family's 1533-position model. Lineage: Bacteria; Deltaproteobacteria. The record is from RNAcentral.
CGCGUAGGCGGCCGUACAAGUUGGAUGUGAAAGCCCUGGGCUCAACCCAGGAUGUGCAUUCAAAACUGUACGGCUUGAAUCUCGGAGGGGGUCAGAGAAUUCCCGGUGUAGAGGUGAAAUUCGUAGAUAUCGGGAGGAACACCAGUGGCGAAGGCGCUGACCUGGACGAUGAUUGACGCUGAGGCGCGAAAGCGUGGGGAGCAAACA